This is a long non-coding RNA of Perognathus longimembris pacificus (Pacific pocket mouse), 104 nucleotides long. RefSeq lists it as uncharacterized. The transcript has 3 exons. NCBI's taxonomy places the organism in Eukaryota, Metazoa, Chordata, Mammalia, Rodentia, Heteromyidae. The record is from RefSeq and is a predicted model, not a curated record.
UUGAUAGAAAAAAUUUAGCCAAGAAUAAGCAAAAAUAUUAACAAUAAACCAGAAAAAUAUUUACUGGAAGCCCCAAAGAAGUAAGGACAGAAUGUACUUUCUCU